GAGUAACACGUGGGUAACCUGCCCAUAAGACUGGGAUAACUCCGGGAAACCGGGGCUAAUACCGGAUAACAUUUUGAACCGCAUGGUUCGAAAUUGAAAGGCGGCUUCGGCUGUCACUUAUGGAUGGACCCGCGUCGCAUUAGCUAGUUGGUGAGGUAACGGCUCACCAAGGCAACGAUGCGUAGCCGACCUGAGAGGGUGAUCGGCCACACUGGGACUGAGACACGGCCCAGACUCCUACGGGAGGCAGCAGUAGGGAAUCUUCCGCAAUGGACGAAAGUCUGACGGAGCAACGCCGCGUGAGUGAUGAAGGCUUUCGGGUCGUAAAACUCUGUUGUUAGGGAAGAACAAGUGCUAGUUGAAUAAGCUGGCACCUUGACGGUACCUAACCAGAAAGCCACGGCUAACUACGUGCCAGCAGCCGCGGUAAUACGUAGGUGGCAAGCGUUAUCCGGAAUUAUUGGGCGUAAAGCGCGCGCAGGUGGUUUCUUAAGUCUGAUGUGAAAGCCCACGGCUCAACCGUGGAGGGUCAUUGGAAACUGG
RNAcentral lists this ribosomal RNA (543 nucleotides) under Bacillus sp. (in: firmicutes). RNAcentral's name for it is "bacterial SSU rRNA". It matches the Rfam family "Bacterial small subunit ribosomal RNA", at positions 108 to 636 of the family's 1533-position model. The record is from RNAcentral. Lineage: Bacteria; Bacillati; Bacillota; Bacilli; Caryophanales; Bacillaceae.